UCUGGGUUUAUCCCAGCGGUCUCGUUAGAAAGAUUUAACUAACGACGGGGGUUGCGCUCGUUGCGGGACUUAACCCAACACCUCACGGCACGAGCUGACGACAGCCAUGCAGCACCUGUGCAAGCUGGUCUUGCGACCUCGUCACCCUUUCAGGCUUCUACUACUAGAUACAUGUCAAGGCCAGGUAAGGUUCUUCGCGUUGCAUCGAAUUGAGCCACAUACUCCACCGCUUGUGCAGGCCCCCGUCAAUUUCUUUGAGUUUUAAUCUUGCGACCGUACUCCCCAGGCGGCACGUUUAACGCGUUAGCUUCGCCACAAAAGGGGUCGAUUCCUUUUACAGCAAACGUGCACCGUUUACAGCUAGGACUAC
This 370-nucleotide unclassified non-coding RNA is filed under the name uncultured Verrucomicrobiae bacterium. RNAcentral describes it as "contains 16S-23S intergenic spacer region". Lineage: Bacteria; Pseudomonadati; Verrucomicrobiota; Verrucomicrobiia. The record is from RNAcentral.